AGUGAACGCUGGCGGUAGGCCUAACACAUGCAAGUCGAACGGCAGCACAGUAAGAGCUUGCUCUUGCGGGUGGCGAGUGGCGGACGGGUGAGGAAUACAUCGGAAUCUACUUUUUCGUGGGGGAUAACGUAGGGAAACUUACGCUAAUACCGCAUACGACCUACGGGUGAAAGCAGGGGAUCUUCGGACCUUGCGCGAUUGAAUGAGCCGAUGUCGGAUUAGCUAGUUGGCGGGGUAAAGGCCCACCAAGGCGACGAUCCGUAGCUGGUCUGAGAGGAUGAUCAGCCACACUGGAACUGAGACACGGUCCACACUCCUACGGGAGGCAGCAGUGGGGAAUAUUGGACAAUGGGCGCAAGCCUGAUCCAGCCAUACCGCGUGGGUGAAGAAGGCCUUCGGGUUGUAAAGCCCUUUUGUUGGGAAAGAAAAGCAGCAGGUUAAUACCCCGCUGUUCUGACGGUACCCAAAGAAUAAGCACCGGCUAACUUCGUG
Molecule: ribosomal RNA, 492 nt
Filed under: uncultured bacterium
Lineage: Bacteria
Description: partial 16S ribosomal RNA
Rfam family: Bacterial small subunit ribosomal RNA
Source: RNAcentral